Molecule: ribosomal RNA, 253 nt
Filed under: uncultured bacterium
Lineage: Bacteria
Description: partial 16S ribosomal RNA
Rfam family: Bacterial small subunit ribosomal RNA
Source: RNAcentral
UACAGGGGGUGCAAACGUUGCUCGGAAUCAUUGGGCGUAAAGCGCACGUAGGCGGUCUGUUAUGUCGGAUGUGAAAGCCCACGGCUCAACCGUGGAGGGUCAUUGGAAACUGGGGGACUUGAGUGCAGGAGAGAAGAGUGGAAUUCCACGUGUAGCGGUGAAAUGCGUAGAGAUGUGGAGGAACACCAGUGGCGAAGGCGACUCUUUGGCCUGUAACUGACGCUGAGGCGCGAAAGCGUGGGGAGCAAACAGG